Molecule: ribosomal RNA, 327 nt
Filed under: Triticum aestivum (bread wheat)
Lineage: Eukaryota; Viridiplantae; Streptophyta; Magnoliopsida; Poales; Poaceae
Description: partial small subunit ribosomal RNA
Source: RNAcentral
AUGGAUCGCCGAGCCUUCAGGAGUAACUCGUGCAACAGCAAGAACACGGCGCCUCCCCCCUCGCCCUCGGCGGCGUCGGCGGCGGUGUACCGGACGUCCUCGGCGCCGGUGGGGGGCUCCAAGGACAACGUCGGCGAGCGCAAGGCGCUGCUGCCCCGGCGCCCCGAGGGCGGCACGGCCCGCAAGGCCUACAAGGGCCCCAAGCGGCGGGUGCAGUGGAAGGACACCCACGGGAAGAAGCUCGCCGAGGUCUUGGAAUUCCAGCCUAGUGAUUCAAGUGACUCGGAUGAUGAUUAUUUGGAUACUUGCAUAUGCUCAGUCAUGUAA